This is a long non-coding RNA of Ailuropoda melanoleuca (giant panda), 3239 nucleotides long. RefSeq lists it as uncharacterized. The record is from RefSeq and is a predicted model, not a curated record. NCBI's taxonomy places the organism in Eukaryota, Metazoa, Chordata, Mammalia, Carnivora, Ursidae. The transcript has 2 exons.
UGUGGUUUUAAUGGACUUGGAACGCUGCUGGAGGACCCCCUCGCUCUCGCUCCUCGUCCGCCCGGCCGAGCCCCUGCAAGGGACUCAGGUGGCCUGCCACGGUGGGUGUUCGGGUGACAGCAGUGAGCAGGGUGUGGGCAGAGUAAGUGGAGGGCACUGGCGGUCCUGAGAAGCUGAGUUGGGGGGCCGUGCAUUUUCAGGCAGCAGGUGACGGGUGUGGGGCUCGGAGAGAAGCGGUUGGGUUGGGGACACGGCUUGGAGGCAGAGUGGUCCGGACAUGCCGUCGGGUGGACGUGGAAUAAUCGAGAAACAGAGAGGACAGGCAUGGCCCCUGGCUCUGGGCUCAGUGGAGGGUGCUGCCAUUUCCUGAGAUGGGGACACUGGGGGAGGAGAGGGUGGGGGGGCACUUGGGAAAUAGAAAGUUCAGUUUGGAUGUGUUAACUCUGAGAUGCCUGCUCCAUAUCUGGCUGCAGAGGCCAGGCAGGCAGGUAGCCCUACGAGUCUAGGGCUCGGGGAAGGGCAUGCUGGAGAUAUACACACGUUCCGCACGUUUAGAUCAACCAUGGGCACACCUGCCAUAUCUGCAGGGGCGGGAGUCAGAGACAGAGUCCAGAAGUUUCUCUGAUGUCCCCCACCUCCCCACUGGCUGGAGCUCAGAAGGUCAUGUCUGGACAAGGACAGUUUUGAUGGAGCGAUGAAAGGAAUUCCCAGAUGUUCAUCUUGCGGGUGGGAAGGAUCCAGGUGAGGGCGGAGUUUGCUGGUCCGGCGAUUGUGCGGAUGACCUCGGGAGCUGUGCGGCGCAGGCCGGGAAGGACCCGGUGGCUUUGCUGGGCGGGGGCUGCCAAGAUGGUCACGCCCGGACCACGUGGACUUGUUCCCCCGGAACGUGCAGUCCCCUCGCCCAGAACAGAGGUCAGGGGAUGACCACCCCACGCAGGGGACGGAGAAACGCCCGCUGCUCGUCCCGCUCGGGCCAGCAGCACUCACCGUGCUCUACUGCGAACCGCGUCUCUUUCUCAGGGAACUUGUAUCCUGACUUCUCUCAAGAAUGUUCUCGGUAAAGCCAACGCCUGAGUUCUCCUGAUGGCACCGUGAUGGGGAGACACGUUUGCUUGCAGCCCGUUAGUCAGGAGCGACAAGAUCUAACUUUGACAGAAAGAAGAGUGUGUGAGAAGCCUCGGAGACGUCUCAGGCACCUACGCUCGGGAUGGAGCAGCUGGACCCAAGGGCUUGCGGGCAGCGAGGACCCUCUCUCCGCGUGUGGGUUUCCUUCAUUUUUACCCACUUCCUCUCCAAAGCGACACAGCCCCUGCAGCCCUGGGACGCUGUCUCCAGACCCUGCGCGCUGGCGAGGGCUCCGUCAUCCUCAGUGUCUCAAGACUUCAAGCCCAGGGGCAGCGGGGCUCUAGUUGGCUCUGCUAAGGUCAGAGGUCAACCCCUAGAUCCGUCAGCUGAAUUCAGGGGUUGGGAGGGUUCAUGGCAGACCUCGUACCUCCAGAUGGAACCAUGUGAUUGGGGCUGCGGGGUGGAAAAUUUCUCAGGAAGGAAAGUGCUGGCCGACAGAAGAACACAUGAUUCUACAAAACCAGGUCAGGAAAGAUCCAUCCUUUCUUUACCCAGGGAGGCUCUCCGCAUAGCGGGCAUCGCAGUCUGGUUUAUUAGGCAGAUACUCACUCCCCUCCCACUGGGGAGCUUGAGGCGAGUUUCCGUGUUGGGCUCACACCCUUGUGCUUCAGCCUUGCCAGGAGGCUGACCUAGGCCACUGUCCCCCCAGAGAGAGACGAGGGGAGCAGAGCCGUCUCAGCUGACCGCGGACCUGGCGUGGACACAGAACCGGCUCACCGGUCUGCCCCGUGUGCCCUAAAGCGGUGGGCGUGCGGCUGAGUGAUGAACAGAGCAUUGCGCCGGGUUUGCGGGGAGUUGAUUGUGCAGUGAACGUGAGCUGGGACGGCUGGGACAGCUUCUUGUCCGAGCCUCACCGUCACAGACUCUUCGGGGCUCGAAUGGGCACAUGUGCCCUUCUGGUUUUUCCCGUCGCCCCUUCUGAGCCACCGACGGGCCCGUCCUCCAGCCAAUCCUGCAAGGCUGCCCCUCAUCGGCCCCUCCGUGACCCUGGCUCAGGCCACGUCAGCUGGGCCUCACACGCUGCUGUGAGUUUCCAGAACCCAUAAAGAACGAUUCAGCUCAGUAAGAAUAACUCAAGUUUUUAGGAAAUGGACACAAGCUUUGAACGGAUGCUUCAUGGAAAAAAGAUACACAAAUGGCCAAUGAACACACAAAAAGGCACUCAGUGUUAUUAGUCGUGAAGGCACACAUUGAAACCACCUGAGACGUCACUCCACAGCCACCGAGAUGGUAACGUUAAAAAGACGAGCCACACCAAAUGCUGGCAAGGAGGCGGGAGACGCGGGCCUCAGGGACUGCGGUGCAGUCGCUUCGGAAAACACUGUAUCAGUUUCUUCUUUCCUUUUUUUUAGGUUUAUUUAUUUAUUUGUCAGAGACAGAGACAGAGAGUGAGCACAAGCAGGGGCAGAGGCAGAGGGAGAAGCAGGCUCUCCACUGAGCAGGGAGCCCGACAUGGGAUUCGAUCCCAGGACCCUGAGAUCAUGGCCUGAGCUGAAGGCAGAGGCUUAAUGACUGAGGCACCCAGGCGCCCCGCACUGUGGCGGUUUCUGAGGAAGUGGAGUUUCUUCUUAAAAAAAAAAAAAAAAGCCACUUCUCAUAGGACCCACAGUCCUACUCCCAGAUGUCUGCCUAGGAGGAAUGGGCACGUAGGUUCACUAAAGAAAUCUGUAUGGGAAAGUUUCUCGCAGCUUUACUCGUAACGGCCAGAAGGUGUCAGGAGGAGACUGGACAACACAUCGUGGUAUAUGCAGCAGUGGAAGAACGGCUUAGCAACAAAACAAACCACGUGUCCAUCUGCUCAGCAGCACACGAGACUCUCGAGACCAUUGAGCAGAGGAACGGAAGGGACAAGAGUAUGCGUGAUUGAUUUCAUGUUUUUGAUUUUAGGAAACAUGAAUCCUUUGUGAUGUCCAGUAGAUCCGUUGCCUGUGGCCGGGAGGGUGAUGGGACUGAGGGCAAAGGCGCAAGCAGAAACAUUUUGGGGUGCUCGAAAUGCUUCAUACGUUGACAGGGGUGUUCAGACACUUGUCUGAAUGCGUGAAGUGGGGCCUUUAAGUGGAUGGAUUUUUAUAUUUGGAAAUUAUAGCUCAAUAACAUUGAUUAAAAAUCUUUGC